Molecule: long non-coding RNA, 788 nt
Organism: Lutra lutra (Eurasian river otter)
Lineage: Eukaryota; Metazoa; Chordata; Mammalia; Carnivora; Mustelidae
Exons: 3
Source: RefSeq, a predicted model, not a curated record
UUUGUGUACACACUGUUGAAUUGAGAGCCCGCCCUGCUAUCCCUCUGACAGCUUGGUGAUGAGGGCGCACGUGCCCACUACAGCAAAGCUAUAAAUAGCAGAUUUUGGAGCUGGUAAAGAGGCGGUAACAACAGGGGCCGAGUUGCUGGGAGCAUAGCUUGCUUAAUGGGGAGAAGGGAAGGAGGAUGAUGAGCCAGGAAGACUGAAGUGCUGUGGAGUACCUCCUUUAUCAGGCAUGAAGCUGGGCACUGAAGAUUUAGAUUCCUGACAUAUGAUCCUGCCCACAGGAAGCUUACAGUAAAGCAACCUUCUGAAGAAGAAAACAUUUCCUCAAAUUGCACUACUGGAGGUAUUCAGGCUACUGGAACUCUAAGAGUCAUCAUGCCAUGAUUCCAAACUCUGGCUCCAAAGCCCUUGUGUUUCUUCUUUUUGCCAACCUGAACUGCCUCUGACUUUGUUGUUGUACCCCUGAGGACUUAUUUCUGUGGAUAAAAACUAAAUCUCCAAAGCACCUGUGUGGCUCGGUGGGUAAAGCAGCUGCCCUCCGCUCAAGUCGUGAUCCUGGGGUCCUAGGAUCAAGCCCCACAUCGGGCUUCCCUGCUCAGCAAAGAGUCUGCUUCUCCCUCUCCCCAUCCUCUUGCUCAUGUUCUCUCUUUCUGUCAAAUAAAUAAAUAAUUAAAUAAAAUCUCUUUAAAAAAAAAAAAACCCUAAAUCUCCCUGCAGCCUACCAAGGAUAUCUAAUAAAGAUUUUCUUUGAAAUGGCUAAUAAAACGAAUCACUAAAUAAAC